GACGAACGCUGGCGGCGUGCUUAACACAUGCAAGUCGAACGGAAAGGCCUCUUUCGGGGGGUACUCGAGUGGCGAACGGGUGAGUAACACGUGAGUAACCUGCCCUUUACUUUGGGAUAACUUCAGGAAACGGGGGCUAAUACCGAAUAGGCGCUCCUGCUGGAGGGAGGGGGUUGGAAAGUUUCCGGGGUUGGGGAUGGACUGGCGGCUUAUGAGGAUGUGGGUGGGGAAGUGGCUUAACACGGCUUUGCCGGGAAGCCGCCGUGAGAGGGUGACCGGACACAUUGGGACUGAGAUACGGCCCAGACUCCUACCGGAGGCAGCAGUGGGGAAUAUUGCACAAUGGGUGGAAGCCUGAUGCAGCAACGCCGUGUGCGGGAUGACGGCCUUCGGGUUGUAAACCGCUUUCGCUCAUGACGAAGCUUUGUGUGACGGUAGUGGGUAAAGAAGCCCCGGCUAACUACGUG
RNAcentral lists this ribosomal RNA (467 nucleotides) under uncultured bacterium. RNAcentral's name for it is "partial 16S ribosomal RNA". It matches the Rfam family "Bacterial small subunit ribosomal RNA", at positions 28 to 507 of the family's 1533-position model. The record is from RNAcentral.